AGUGAACGCUGGCGGUAGGCCUAAUACAUGCAAGUCGAGCGGUAGCACAUUAUAAUCUUGCUCUUUCGAGUGGCGAGUGGCGGACGAGUGAGGAAUACAGCGGCAUCUACUUUUUCGUGGAGGAUAACGUAGGGAGACUGAUGCUAAUACAGAAUACGAUCUACGGGUGAAAGCAAGGGAGCUUGGGACCUUUGGCGAUUGAAUGGGUCGAUGUCGGAUUGAUUAGUUGGUGGGGUAAAGGCCCACCAAGGGGGCGAACCGUACCUGGUCUGAGAGGGUGAUCAGCCACACUGGAACUGGAACACGCUCCAGACUCCUACGGGAGGCACCAGUGGGGAAUAUUGGACAAUGGGGGCAAGCCUGAUCCAGCCAUCCCGCGUGGGUGAAGAAGGCCUUCGGGUUGUAAAGCCGUUUUGUUGGGAAAAAAAAGCAGCAGGUUAAAACGCCGCUGUACUGACGGUACCCACAGAAUAAGGACCGGCUAACUUCGUG
This 492-nucleotide ribosomal RNA is filed under the name uncultured bacterium. RNAcentral's name for it is "partial 16S ribosomal RNA". It matches the Rfam family "Bacterial small subunit ribosomal RNA", at positions 29 to 507 of the family's 1533-position model. The record is from RNAcentral.